UACGUAGGGUCCGAGCGUUGUCCGGAAUUAUUGGGCGUAAGGCGUCGUAGCGGUCCGUCGCGUCGGGAGUGAAAACUCGGAGCUUAACUCCGAGCCUGCUUCCGAUACGGGCAGACUAGAGGUAGGCAGGGGGGAGAGGCGAACUCCUGGUGUAGCGGUGGAAUGCGCAGAUAUCAGGAAGAACACCGGUGGCGAAGGCGGCUCUCUGGGCCUUACCUGACGCUGAGGAGCGAAAGCGUGGGUAGCGAACAGG
Molecule: ribosomal RNA, 253 nt
Filed under: uncultured bacterium
Lineage: Bacteria
Description: partial 16S ribosomal RNA
Rfam family: Bacterial small subunit ribosomal RNA
Source: RNAcentral